Molecule: long non-coding RNA, 15527 nt
Filed under: Homo sapiens (human)
Lineage: Eukaryota; Metazoa; Chordata; Mammalia; Primates; Hominidae
Description: non-protein coding lnc-IRS1-8:1
Source: RNAcentral
CAUUGUAACCUUAAAGAAAUAUCUGUUUCAAUACCUAUAGAUUAAUGACAUUUUAAAUGGCUGCAUAUAUCCCUGUAUGUAUCAUAUAGUAUCAUAACUAAUUGAUCAAAUCACUAUUAAUGGACAGUUAUGCUGUUUUUCACAAUGUACCCAACAAUACCUCACUGAGCAACCUUGACUAUUAUUUGCCUAAAUAUUUUUUAAAGAAUAGAUUCCUACAAAUGAAAUUUGUGUGACAAUGUAGAUAGGUAAAAGUUUUUAUUCAGUUUCCUAAAGUGCUCUCCAGAAACAAAUAAAAUUGAGACGUGUAUCAAUAAUUCAUGAACAUGACCAAUCCUUCACAUGUGUACUAAUUGUUUUCAAAUGCAUACUAAUUCUUUACAUUUUUGCAAAUCUGAAUUUUAGCUUUUUAAAUUAUUAGUGAGUAUAUUUCCAGAAUAUGUUGGCUAUUUGCACUUCCUUGGUGAAUUGCCUUUACAACUUCCUAUGCUAUUUUUAUAUUGUGAUUGCUGGCUAGAUUUUUGUUUCUUACUGAUAUGUGAGAAUUAAUUGUAUGUUAAAGAUAGCAAUACUCUGUCUUAAGUUGCCAGUGGUUUUCUAGGGUGUUGUUUGAUUUUUGACUUUCUGUAUUUUUUUCUUUCCUUUCCUACAAAACUUUUCAUUUUACUCUACCCAAUCUUUCCUUUAUGACUUAUAAUAUUGGAACCAUGGUAAAAAAAGAAAAAAAGAAAAAUUCUGUCUUAGUUCAUUAUUAAAAGAAUGUUGAUUAAGAACAUGUGUUUAUGCUUUGGAGCAUAUUUUUAAUUGUUAUAAAAUUUUAAAAUGUAAACUGUUUUCAGGAAACCCCUUAACCUACUUAUGUAUUGUUUAAAGAGGAUUAAAAAGUGCUUUGUAUUUUUUACCUUCUUAAAAUUAUUUAUUUUAUAUCAAUAUAGAUGUUAAAAACAAUUACACACUGAUCAUAUGAACAUAAGUAUUUUGUUCUUAAUAUUUUUUUCCACCAGAAGAAACUGAAUUAUCCAUUUGUUACUGAAAAAAAUGAGCAGUUUUUAAAAGAGGCAAAAUUAAUAUUUUAUUAAAUGGGAAAAUUUCUGUAUACAAUGCACUUUGUUGAGAUGAAUAGAAUUAUACAUUAUUGCUGGCAAAGAAAAGAUCAAGAUGAUGUUAUGUAAAUUUACAUUAGUACUUAACAGUUGCUAUAGAAUCAUGAAUCCAACAGACUUAUUUGUGUUUAUUAGUGACUUUAAAUUAGAUUCUUCAGUUUUUGUUGAAAGGCAUAGUCCAAGUAUUGCAGAUUAAUGGGUGCCCUGAACCUAGAAUUCCAUGUUUCUUCUUCCUUAUCUCUCAUGUGGAAGGACAGAGGAGACCAGGUAUCUCCAAGAAUUGUCUGUUUUUUUAAUCCCUAUCCCAAAAACAUGUUUUCUAAUGAAAGGACAGGAAUGGUGCAUAGAACUUUUAGGGAAGUGGGCCAAAGAAGGCUGAAAAUUAGUGAACAGUCAUGAUGUGGGGCUGAGCACUCUACCUGUGUGAGCUCUCCUUGCCCCCUGAGCUCCUCUGGGUCCCUGAGUCCAGCCACUUUCAUUGGAUGGCACUCAGCUACUGCCACGGGGCACGCUAGCAGAGCACCAGCUAGCGGCGACUGGUGACCUGGCUUCUUGGAGCCUUCACUGGAAAAUAAACUGAGCACACAAUGGGCAAUCUUUUGAAUUCCAUUCCAAAGAAUUAUAUUUACAGAGCUGAGGUAGAGUACUCAACAGGGUGGGGCUGAAGAGCCCUGAAUUAGCCACAUCGAUCCACGCAAGUGAUGGCUAUGUUCCCCACUGAAGAGGAAAGCCUUACAGAGUGAAGGGCUUUAUCUUCUAUUUAAAAACUCUAUGGGCAAAUUCAUCAGGCUAUCUGACAGGUAAAUUAAGCAGGGUUGCAGCUUCCAGGGAGCCCAACUCAUAUUCCAACCAGGCAGCAACAAAUCAUAGCCAGUUCCAUCCACUGGGCUUCCCCUUCAGGAGCUUAACAGGCUCAAAAACCAGCCUCAGAAUUUGUGCCUCUCAGUCUGCCUUGCCAUCCCAGCCAACUCUCUGAGAGUCACCAACAGGUGCUGUCACUUCUCCUGGAUGUGGAGGCUAUUCCUGGAACAGGCAGGCUUUUCUUCUUGCACAACCCACCCCAAGGGUAAUUCAUUCAUUCCCAGGGCUUGGGGGAAGCUGUGGUGCUUAUGAGGCAAAGCUUGGUCACUGUGGACCAUGACAGUGAAGUAAGUGAAUUCCUUUCAGGGACAGAGAGAACCAAUACUUUCCACCCACUUUCACUAUAAUUGGAGAGAAAAACAACCCCAGCCAAGGGGUGGGGGGGAAGAAAAGAACUACAGAGGUCACCUUCCCGAAGAGAGAUACUCUGUUGGCUGCAGGAGAGGAAUUAAAUAAAUAAAUUCUAUGUCAGUUAUUUGUUAAACAUGCAGUGGAUUACAUUGCCUGAGAUGCAGUGGUGAAUAAUACACUUGUGGCCUUGUCCACAAGGAAUAAAAUCCUCAUGCCCCAUUUGUACAUUUUUAAUGUCCCAAUAUAUAAUUAGAUUGCUAAUUAAAGGCAAUGUCCUGGUCACUGCAGAUAAAUAAACAAAAAUGACGUAUAUUUUUUCCCAGACCUUCAUCCCUUCAUGGCUAUAGCUUCUCUAGUGCUUUUCAUGAGCUCAGCCCUGCAGACAACACUGCCAACUAAUUUUAGCCUUUUUCAGACUAUCAGUGAUAUAUUAUUGGGCUGAUUUCACAGGUGAGGGGAUCAAUGCUCAGUAUCUUUUAUCCAUUCCUUCUUUCCCUCAACUGAUAUUGAGUGUCUACUAUGUGCCAGGUACUGUUCUGGGGUCUUGCCCUAGAGGUCUGGGGGCCUGCAAAGUCCCUCACCCCUAGGCAAUGCCUCUCUUCACAGAAGUUCUUUCCUCCUUGUAGAUCUGCCCCACUCCAUGCUGGAUAUGUAGGCUGAGGCUAGACGGAGGUUCACAGAGCAGGACUCAUCACCACACUGAACCCUGUUUCUAUGGUGGCAAAUGCUAUCAUGGCUUUGGGUUCCCAUUUGAGGAGCAGGACUUUGAUGUGAUUCUUUCGGCCCUCCCUUUGCUCUGAGGAGCCUGACACAUUGUCUUGAUAACCUGCUGGAUGUUCCACUGGUGCUUAAACUGAGGUGCUGUCUGGCUCUUGCCAAUCCUUGCAGGGGCUUGAUAGCUGUCCUCUCACCCUUCAGCUCCGUAUCAGGACCCAUCCACCCUUCCCCAACUUCCUGGAUGGCCUUCUCACAGAAGGGUCCUGUGUGUGGUCCCCCCAGACUCCUACUCGUAAACAAAUGUACAGAAACCUAGGUUUCAUUCCUGACUCCUCCCUCUCCUGCAUCCCAUAUGCAGUCCACAAAAACUACUGCUUAUUUCAUCCUCAAAAUGGCCCUGUAUCUAGCCAUUCUCUUUAUCUCCUGGUCCAAGGUACUGUCAUCGCUCCUUGAGCUACUAAGAUGGCCCCAGACCAAUCUCACUGUAGUCACUCAGGCACCCUCCAGUUUGUUCCCCACCUGCAGCUAGAGUGGCUUUGUUUAAACACAGAUCUGAGGACUCUUCUCCUCGCCACUCCACCAUGCUUCAACUCUUUAGUACCUUUCUCUUCUCCUUAAGAUAAAAACGAAACUCCUUAACUUUCUUUCCUUUGGUCAUUCUACCUUUUUGUUGUUGCUGGUGUUGUUUUAUUUUUUAAAUAAACAAUAAUGGGAUACUUGUAGAUUCAUAGAAAAAUUUCAAUUAUAGUACAGAUGACUCCUGGAUAUCCCUUGCCCAGUUAAUAUCUUAAAUCACUCUGGGUUGCAUUUGUCAAAACAAACAAAUUAGCACUGGUGCAUUACUAAUAACUGGACUCCAGACAUUAUUAGGAUUUCACCACAUUGCCAUUAGCCUAAUUUGGUUUUUGAUCACGGGACUAUAGUAUUUAAUGUUUGAUCUGGAUUCUUUUUUUUUUUUUUUUUGAGAUAAAAGGGCACUCUUAAUAAUUACUAGGGACCGCAGGUGUGGAUGGGAACUGCCCCAGGUCACUUUAUCUAGAAUGCAGGAGGAUGACACUCCUCUACCUUCAACUCCCCUCACAUUCUCAGUGCUCCAGACAUGCCAACCUUCUUUCACUCUUGCUACUCAUUUUCCCUUCACAUGAGCUCUUCCCACUCAUCUUCUCCUGGCCAAUGGCUAUGGACACGUUCUCACACAAAUCUUCCCUGACCUCCUGAACUAGGUCAAAUGACUGUUCUCACUUGUUUCUUAAUAUAGCAUUGCACUCUCUCCUUACCCUCCCCUCCCCUCCCCUCCCUUCCCUUCCCUUCCCUUCCCUUCCCUUCCCUUCCCUUCCCUUCCCUUCCCUUCUGUUCCAUUCCAUUGCAGUUGUACUUAGUUCUGUGAGGUUAUUUGAUUGAAUUCUACCUUCCUUGUGAGCCUGUAAGCUCCACGAGGGAAGGGGCAAUGUUUCAUUUUUCCCUCCCUUGUCUCCUCUGUGCCAAGAACACAGAGUGAGUAUUGAUAUGAAUAAUUCUUUGAUGAAUGCCUGAGCAAAUGUGCCUCUUGAUACUACAGUGCCAUUCAGUACAUGCCACAAUGUUCUCUGAAUAGCAGGCUCCACCUGCCUAACUCCAUCCUCUCCCACCAGCCUUCCCUAUGCGCUUAUAUCAUUCUAGUGGAAACAUCUAGUUUUCGGGCUUUGUCCAUGAUAGGCAUUGGAUAUAUACAUGUUCAAUGAAUAAACGUCUCUAUUUAUACACUCUUCUUUGCACCAUGAAUUAGUCAGGACUCUUCCAACUGUAAGUGACAAGUCCCUAUUCAAACUGCUUUACCAAAAACUACAUGGAAGGUGGAAGUAAGCAGUGAGUCACAUAAAAGGGAAAUAGAGGGGCUGGCUAAUUUCCAUUGUGGCCUUGAUCUGGGUACUUAGAUAGAGGCUACCAGGAGGCUAUCUCACUCCCUCUGUCCCUACUCUGCUUGCUUUUGUGUUGACUCCGUGCUCAGGCAGAUUGUUCUUGUGUGGUGAAAAUGACCAGUGGCCAUUUCAAGCUCAUAAGGUCUUUAAAAGUCAAAGCUCAGAAGAUAGUAAUGUGUUAUGCUAUCAAUAUCAAUAUCCAUUCCCAACAAAAGAUUCUGAUUUGGCCUUGCUUGGCUAACAGGUCCAUCUGUGACUCAAUCUCUGUGGCUGGGAAAGUGAUUUAUGCUAAUUGGCCAAUGGGAAUAACAUACUCAGCCCCCUGGAGCAGGAGGCCAGGACAUACGAUUCAUGGUCCUGCUGGGUGGAAAUGGGACUGGUGAAAAAUUAGAGCUGCUCACUAUAAUCCCUGGCUUCCAGAAGCCUCACAAUAAGAAAUAGAUUUCUAGCCUCUCUCUGUUACUUGUUUUCACUAAUUUAAAAUAGUUAGGUUACACGUAGCAAUAAACUUUUUUUUUUCUGAUAAACACCUUUAUUGAAGCAAAUAUUUGAUGCAGUAUGCAUUAAUGACUUGUAUGCAAAAUACCCUCAAGGUUGAUUUUUUCUUUUCUUUAAGUUAAAACCAACUUUUAACUUAAAAAUUUCUGGUCUUUGGGCUCAGUGUUCCAUAUUUUGCUUGGUAUAUUUUCUGGAAGUAGAAAGGAAAGUUAAACUACCUCUCUAGCAUCCCUUUGGAGUAAAUUUAUUUUCAAAACAUUAUUUAAAGAGAAGUUUUUUAAAAAAUAAUAUAACAAGCUGAGAAAUUCUUCUGUUUUCCAGAUUAAUCAUAGAAUGACAUGCUAUGAUUAUUUUAAUAUUCUGGUUAACUUAGAGUUACCCAAAAUACCCUUCAUGGAUAUUUUACAAAAAUAAGGCCUGAAAUUAUUUAAUCUUUAAUAUGUAAUUUCGGAGAGGCUUCAGACACAUUUAGGUUAUUUAAUUUGAGCACCACAGUCAGGCAACUGUAAAGAAAGUUUGGAUUUGUUUGUUUGUUUGUUUAGGUCAGGGGCCAGCAAGUGUUUUCUAUAAAGGACCAGAUAAUAAAUAUUUUAGACUUUGCAGGUCAUGUGUGUUUCUCUACCUUUACUCAAAAGGGUGGCGGGCCGGGCAUGGUUGCUCACACCUGUAAUCCCAGCACUUCAGGAGGCCGAGGUGGGCGGAUCAUUUUGGGGCAGGAGCUCGAGACCAGCCUGACCAACAUGGUGAAACCCCAUCUCUACUAAAAAGACAAAAAAAUUAGCCAGGCGUGGUGGCACAGGCCUGUAGCCCCAGCUACUCGGGAGGCUGAGGCAGGAGAAUUGCUUGAACCUAGGAGACGGAGGUUGCAGUGAGCCGAGAUUGCACCAGUGCACUCCAGCCUGGGAGACAGAGUGAGACUCUGUCUCAGAAAAAAAAAAAAAAAAAAAGGCGGCAAAUUGGCCAUAGACAAUAAAUGAAUGAAAUGUGUGCAGCUGUGUCCUAAUAAAAUUCUGUUUAUAGAUACAGGCAACAGGUACCCUUGGCCUGGACUAUAGUUUGCAGCCCUCUUUUAGAUUCUGCAUACGCAGAAUUUAUGGUUGUUAUCUUGUGGUCAUAAUCAAAUGUUGUGUAGGUGUUUGCAGUAUACUCUCAUAGCAUGGUUUAAGGAACAGAGUCUUGAAGAAGAAAUCAUAAACUUAAGGGGUCCUGGAUCUAUAUGCUGACUAUAGUCCAAUUACUUCUUCCCUCUAAGCCUUUAUUUUCCAAACCAUAAAUAGGGCCAUUGAAAACUGUUCUACCAAUCUUAGAGUUAUUUGGCGAAUCAAAUAAAGAAAUGUAUGAGAAAAGGAAUUGAAUACAUAGUUACUUUCUACCAUAAGGUACAAUUGAUUUAAUUUUAUGGCACAGCAAUUGUCGAAAUAUUUGAGGAAAAGGGAAAAACCAUCUGAAAAAAAUAAUACGAGUUAAGAACCCUGUAAGAAACAGAUAAACAACACGCAUAUUAAGAUCUUUUUUUUUUUUUUUUUUUUUUUGAGGUGGAGUCUUGCUCUGUCGCCAGGCUGGAGUAUGGUGGCGCGAUCUCAGCUCACUGCAACCUCCGCCUCCCAGGUUCAAGUGAUUCUCCUGUCUCAGCCUCCCAAGUAGCUGGGACUACAGGGGCCCACCACCACGCCCAGCUAGUUUUUGUAUUUUUAGUAAGAGAAGAGGUUUCACCAUGUUGGCCAGGAUUUUCUCGAUCUCCUUACCUUGUGAUCUGCCCACCUCAGCCUCCCAAACUGCUGGGAUUACAGGCGUGAGCCACUGCACCUAGCCUUAAGGUCAUUUUUGUAGGGUUUUACAUAAGGACUAUUCAGAAAGAUAAGGACAAAAUAUGAGGGUAGUGCAGUAAUGUGGGAGGAGCAACCUCAGAACUUACUGACCUGAGACCCAGAAGGAAGAAGGAAGGUAGGAAGCUGCCACAAGAACAGCUGUGCCCUUCAGUCCAGGGACACAACUAAAGUGACCCUGGGACACAAAUAUCCUGCCUGCAUCCUCCUUCUUCCCUCUUCUCUGCUGAUUGAUGCCUCCAACUGGUUGAACCCAACCAGAACCCAUUCCAAGCAGGUCAGUGUCCCUGGGCAGACAGCAAGGUGAACAGUAGUUGAGAGGGGACAUGAAGGUACAGACAGAAGCAAUCCAAAGUGACAUAACACGUAUAUAUUCUCGGCAAGCCUACACAUGGCUUAUCAGUGAUAUUUUGCAUGUUGCAUUUCUCUCCUUUUUCUUUGUUGGCAUGUUUAUUUGUUGUAAAGCAUCAUUGUAACUAAAGCCUGUUGGUAAACUUACACAGAUUAAAGCAAAGUCCAGAAUAGUUUGGCACUAAAUAAAAAUCGCCUAUAGAGAAACUAAAACUUGGGUGAAAAUAAAAAUGGGAUAAAAUGCUGCCUGCUACUUGUUCUUUACCUUCUCAUUGAAUUGGCAUUUUCUAUUACAGUAUACUAAUAUAUUUAUGCUGAAGUGAAAGGGGAACUCUGGUAAAAGUCAUGAUAGGCUAUUAUAAAUGCUUAGCCCAGUGAGUAAAAAAUAUUCCAACAAAACAAAACAAAAACUCUCACCAAAAGAAAGAAAAACUACCUUAGUUACUAGCAAGACAGUUUGACCAGUGUGCAUGUUUAGACUUAUUUUAUCAUGUCUGUUAAACUAAUCCAAACUCAAGUAACCAGCAUUUUCACGUUGCUUUAAAGAACAUAGUCAAAUUUUCAGAGAAAGAAGCUAAUUUUUUAAAAGCCUACAUUAAAAAUUGAUUUUGGAAAGCCUGACAACUUCCAUGAUAUGGUUUAGGAUGAGCUCUUGCUCGUCUCUGCCUGUCAUGCUUUCAAGUCUAUGCCAGAGUCCAGCAUUGGGUUGGAGGAAGGAUCUGUCACUUUGGAGAUCCCUGCAAACCCAGAGAUAUUAUCAAGCCUCGAUUGAAGAUGGAAAUCAUGACCUUGGGCAUUGUGAAGACCUGAUUAACCAGAACACAGUUCACCUUGAUUGAGUGUAUGUAACCAAAGCAGGAAAGUGGGCUAUUAUAUUCCAACAAUAAAGGAGAAAACAAGAGUGCUUCCUGGUCAACUCUCAAUUUGCAGAAUAUUUGAAUAACUCAGAUCCUACCCUCCCUGAGCAUUUUGAUUAAAGACAGCUCCUUGCACAUGUCUUCUCAUUCUUUUCAGCAUUUCAGAGGGAGCUCCGAUAUUUCCAAUUCCUGAUCAUUCUAAUGAAAGUAAGGUUGUUAUAGGCAUAUAGGUAUAGGUACAUUGUAUAGAUAUACCCUAUACAUCUUAUUUUCAUUUGCAAUUAUUCUUAGUUGUUGGUUUACUUGAUUUUGUGGUUUGUUUACCCCAUUUGAUUAUGAAUUUGUGACUUGUUCCCCAUUGUAUUUCUUAUGCUUAGCACAGUGCGUGACACAGAGUGGAUGCUCAAUAGAUAUCCUUUGAAUGAAUGAAUGAAUGAAUGAAUGAAUAUCUAACCCAUAGGGAAAGGGACAGUAAACCUGGCAGGCUGGUGAUACACACAAAGGUAGAGUAAUUGCUAGGCUUGUCUGAAUGUCUGUCUUAAUGUAGUCUCGAAAGAAACUGGGCUUUAUUACUGACGUGCUUUCUUCAUUAUCAUAGACAAUGGAGGCUGCUGUGAAACAUGGCUUGUGAAAAGAAUACAUAUGUCAAGCUCUAAAAUAUGCAGUGCCACAAAUCAUGAGGAUUGACGUGUAGACAGAAUCUAUGUAAAUGAAUCACUGAUCAAAGAUAGACUUGUUAGGAAAGCAGACUUUCCAUGACACUAGUCUAUACAUUUCUGAGGUUUUCACUGAAUUAUUCAUUUAUAGAAAGUGUUCAUGGGUCUUGGCAUUUACUUUUAAGAAAAGUAUAUAAGAAAGAGAUAGUCUUUGGUGAUAUCUUUUCAAACACACUCUUUUCUUAAGGGUGGGAUUUAUGACAUUUUGGGAUAAGACAAUUUGACGUACAUUAUUUAAGCAAAUGGGUUAUUGAAUCAAACUGCUGGGUUUCAACUUCAGGUGCUUACUUAUUAUGUAACCUCACAAAGCCUCAGAUUUCUCAAUAGUAAAAUUGGGAGGAUAAUAUAACAAUAGCAUUUAUCUGAUGUGUGUGUGUGUCUUUGUGUGUGUGUGUGUGUGUAUGUGUGUGUGUCAGACAGCACUGAUGUAAUCUACGUAAAAGUACUUAGCACAUUAUUUAUUCUCACAUGAUGCACUUUUAUUUAGAUUUAAUUACAUGAAAUUGUUUCCUAAGUUUGCUAAAACAAAUCUCUUUGUACAAACAUAUUUCCCUUACAUUUAUAUCUUAUUUAUUUUUGCUCCUUCCCUAAUUUACCCCAAAGUGCAGCCACUACCUUCACUGUUUUGGAGACAGAAAGCCACUGUCUCAGAAAAUUGAAGACAAAGCACCUCAUGUGUGUGCUGGUGGUGGAGUGUAGGUGAGUGAUCGAUUUAAGGAAUGACCCCAUCCGAUAAAACCACUGUAGUCUUUUAGAUUUGUUGUCAUCUUAGGAAACACAGAAUCUACCACCAGCAGCGAUUGUAUGUGUAAUAGUUUGAUAGCAGUACUGGCUACAACACUUCAGCUAGCUCUGAAAACAUUCUUUUUGCCAUGCGACUUUACACAGCCUCUUAUGCAACAGGCAGAGUCUGUUAUGUUAGACAAGCAUCUUAUUUUGAACAAAAGGAUGUUAUCAGACAUGACUCUUUAGAAACCUGAGAAAGUUCUUAUACAUUUCUGCUUCCCUUCUUGUUCCUCUGUCCUCGCAUGAGAACAUGCACAGAGUUGAGAAUUGGGAAGCAGAGCUGAGUCUUUCUGGUUGCCCCAGCCUAAGCCAGCCUAGAUCAGCCAAUUCAUGGUCAGUGGCCCCCCAGACAUGGUGAACCCAGCUGAGCCCAGGAGAAUGUGCAGGCUUAUCCUGUCUGAACUGCCCAUGUGAAGACUCCUGUGCCAAAUAACCACUUUGUUUUAAGCCACUGAGUGUUGGGAUAGUUGGUUACUUGGCAUUAUUGUGACAAUGUAUAACUGAUAUUGAACAUGAGCUGAAUAGUGUCAUGGGACUCUUUGUGGAAUCUCUCUAAUGUAUAACUAAUCAUAUCGUGUUCAUACUUAAAUGGCCGUACUUUAGUUAGGCUCUAUUUCAUCAGCCUCAUCUUUUCUCCCCCUAGAACCCCAAAACUAUACUUUUUUAAAAUUGUACUUGUAUUUCUGAGGACUGCAUAUUAUCUCAGUCUUGGGCCUUGGUUGAGCCAAUUGGCCAGACUUCUUCCACUCCCAGCAAAGUCGGUUUCUAUUUGUCCUUUGGUUCUUAUUUUAGGAAUCAUCUCCUUUGGAAAAAUCUACUUAGCCUUGCUAAGAAAAGGUUGGGUGACUCUCCUUUGGGUGCCCAUAACAUUCUGGUACUUAAGAUUUUGGCAUUAUAUCACUUUCUGAGUACUUAGUAUAUGUUGGCAUUAUGACCUCUUUUGGGGCUUUUCUCACUGGACUCCCUGUUCUUGGAGGGCCAAGAACAUGUGUUUUGGGUUUUGUGAAGCAAUGCCUCUCUAGCAUAAAGCUCAGUGUCUGGCAUGCAGUGUGCGCUCAACUAAUAGAUAUAAAAGAAAUGAAUGUAGAUGUUAAAUUCAUGGGCAAAUGGGGAAAGGAUGAUAUUGUGAGGGUCCCCUGUCCCAGAAUAAAGAUAAGUAGAAUAAAGGGAAAGGAGAAUAUUAGAUCCAUCUGUAACUUGGGAAUGUUGAAACUACUUAGAAUGGUUUCUACACUGUAGACCUUUUGUAUAAACUUCAAGGAAAGAUCAACACCAACCCAACUGCUGAAAUAAAAUUAGAAUUAUUGGUUUAUAAGUAAGCCACUCUUUCUAAAGAGGGUGAUCCAAAUAGCAUCUGCCAAAUAGGCAUGUGGACUGGACUUCAAUUUCUUCCCUAAGCAAGUUAAAUAAAAAUUGUAAAAAGACCCUGUUUAGAAUUUCUUUUACAAAGAGCCACUUACAAUUUUGGGGUAUUAUUUUAGGCAUUGAAUAUGCAGUUUUAAAAACAAACAAAAUGAAGGGCACAAUCUUUUGGCAGUAAAGAUAGGUUCCUAUGUUACCAGGAGAAUUCAUGAGCAAGGGAUGUAGAAAUUUAUAAUCUCAUGGUUAUAGGAUUCUAGACAAGGAGUAAACCUUUGGGAUUUGCUAACCCAGUGUGUUCUGCAAACUAGUGGAACACAGGUUUGACAUCCUAGGUCCACUCUUACUUCCACUCCAUCUUCUUCUGGGCUUUCCUUUGGCUUCCCACACUUCUGUUUUCUAGAGUAUAUACACCAUCAAAAUUUAAAUUUUAACCCACGGCUUUAGUUUACCUUUCCUCACUUUAUAAAUAAAGACAAAAAUUCCCUGAAGUCAUGAUUGCCUGAGUUAACCCAAAUGGUAAUGCAGAAGGUAAAAUCUACUUCUGGAAACUCGUGGUACACUUGGUGAUUUUUUUCACUGUGAUGCACUCUCUUUGACCCUUUUCCUCACACAUUCCAUUGGGUUGUGCAGAAUCUGCAUGGCUGGAAUGAAUACAAGUUGAAGGGGAAGUUAAAUCCGUCUAAACUUUAAAAUGUAGAGAAGAUUUAACAUCCUUAUGUCCUUUGGAACGUUAUGGUGCAUUCAUGGUUCACGCAGUCAGUAAACUAAAGGUCGGGCUUCAGUUGGUAUUCAGCAUAGUGUGUCGUAACAUUGACAGGCUAUAUUUAUACAGUGGUGCUGAAAGAUUAAAAUAAAUAUAUAUCAAUGUUGAUCCUAACAAAUGUAUGCAUUGCAGCUGAUAGAGUUACCAUCAGUUUUUGAGUUUGUAAUUGUUUACCCAUAUGUUGCCAAUGGCAGUUUUUCCAAAAUAUAAUAAUUUGGCACUUCAUUCUGUAGUUUUUUUUGGAGAACUAAAAAAUAACAUUUAAUAUUGGUACACCAUGAUUUCUAGACUACAUUUGUGAGGGGAAAAAUAGAGACCUGGCUUUCAAUCAGUUCUCUAACCAGUUUUAUGAGAAUUCCAUCUCUACCAGUCUCUCUGGCUACAAUUUUUGCUCCUCCAAGUGCUAAGGAAAAAAAUAGUUUGUACUCUCUGCUUUCUCACAAGAGAAAAUGGCAUGGACCUAGGGUCUUUAGAAUAAUUUGUUACUCCUACCUCAGCUCUGUGCCCACAUUUCUCUUGCCCUUUGAGCAAUGGGGACUCCAAUCUCCUUCCAACAAGACUCAAUUCAUAAUUUUCUUUUCUUUUUCCUUUUUUUUUUUUUUUGAGACAGAGUCUUGCUCUGUCACCCAGGCUGGAGUGCAGUGGUGUGAUCUCAGCUCACUGCAACCUCUGCCUCCCGGGUUCAAGCCAUUCUCCCGCCUCAGCCUCCCGAGUAGCUGGGAUUACAGGCGCCCAACACCAUGCCUGGCUAAUUUUUGUAUUUUUUAGUAGAGAUGGGGUUUCACCAUGUUGGCUAGGCUGGUCUUGAACUCCUGACCUCAAGUGAUCCACCUGCCUCGGCCUCCCAAAGUGCUGGGAUUACAGGCAUAAGCCACCACACCUGGCCUCAUAAUUUUCUUUCUAUUCACAUCUCCAAGGGUAAUGAAAUGUUUCCUACACUUCUGUUAAAAAGAACUUCUGCCAUGAGAAAGAAUUCUCUCUCUCAGAAUGGUGGUUCUUUUGGUUCAACUCAUAUGAUCCCAUCAGUCCUAAAAUGAUUGCCUUGAUAUAUCCGGUUUGGAACUCUUUCAGAUGAGGUCAUUGACAAAAGAGCACAUCUGGUAGCUAUUCAGGGCAGCUCCACUGGAUCCUGCUCCCCAUGACACAUGUCUGGUGUCUCACAGCUGUGCACGCAUCCUUCCUAUUCUCUCUUCAUCCUUGCCUCUCCAGGGAACCCUCCUGAGGAGCUGAAAGACAACCUUUGGCUUAUCUUGUUUGCAUUGAAUCUUUACUCUAAUGGUCAGGGAACAUUCCUCCUUCCAAGCAGCUGAGUAUAUUUCAUGCAAAUUGCACUUCUGGUACUUUUCACUGACAGUCAAGAGCUUCUGAGAUCCUUCUCUGUUCUUCUGUACAGGUGUCUUUUUUUUUUUUUAACCCCAGGUUCAUUGCCUACAUUGAUAUUUUAAUAAUGUUACAGAUAAUGAUAAACACAUACUUAAAUUAGAUAUACACAUAUGAUUGUAUGGGAGGGCUCUGUAGGCCAACAUAAGGACAGUAACCAUUCAGUAGAUUCCCCAUCUUUAGGUUUAUCAAGAGAUUUGAAGUUGCUAUCUGGGGGACUUACUCAUAUUGUCUUUGACAAUCUCUUUCUAGACUGUUUCUACAGUCUAACAUCCUACAGUUUUGUUCCCUUACUAUCUAUACUUUAUUACUCCCUAUAUUCAAUUGUAGUAGGCACUUUUUUUUUUUUUUUUUUUUUUUGCCUUUACUCAUGCUGCUCCCACCCUGGGAUUCCUGUCCUGGGUUUUUCACUUAUUAGUGUCUUCAGGAGAUAUGAGAAAGCACUCCCCAUGUCUCAAUCAGAAGUCAUUACUUCCUUCUUUGUACUCCCAGUGCACAUUGCUGACAUUGCUGAGAGGUCAUUGGUCCCAUCAUUUACUGCUAUUUCUGUUGGGUGUAUACGAAUAUUUAUAAUAUAUAUGUGUAUGUAUGUUCGAUAUUAUAUAUUUGUAUUAUGUAUUUAUGUAAUAUUAUCACAGAUUCACACAGGGUGUUAAAAAUAGGAGAUUCUCAAUAACUACUAAACCAAUGGAUAUUUUGUGUGAGUAACUGAACACAUGAUUUUCUUGUAAACCAAUUUGAUUUUAUUCUUUUAAUGAUUAACUUUAAAAUGAACAGAGGUAACUAUUUUGAACAACUAACUGCUGUUGACCAUGAUUCUGAUGAAAGUAACCUAUGUCUUCUAGAAGUUUAGAUUCAUUCUGAAUUGCCUAAACACAUUUUUAACAAGAGUGUCCAAUCUGGACCUACAUAGUACACAAGUAAAAGGAAAAUAGCACAGGCUCUCGGCGAUAAAGCUUCAAGGUGAAUUUAUGAGUGUUCAGGGGAAGUUUUCUCCUUCACUUCCAAAUGUACUGUCCCAAUUUGACCAAAUAUUUGCAUAGUAUGUUGUACAAAUAUAUAAAGUACCCUUUCAUUUUGUACUUUCAAUGCUUGUGUCACAUAGCACCAUAAUAUGAAAAAGAGGACAAGUGAAUCCCUGAACAGAAACAAAAAUGUUUUUAUGUCACCAAGAACUAUGUCCUUCCUCUUUAAUAACAAAAAAAAGGAAACACACACACACACACACACACACACACACACACCCCAAAAAGAGAUCAGGAAGACUCCAUCUAUGAUGGUGUAAUUUUUGUGCUGACGUGUUGGGCAAAAAGAAAAUCACUGUCAGCCUCCUGACUUUCACCUGCUAAACACACAACCACAGGCGCUAAGAAACCUAGGAAAGCACUUUCAUCAGCAAAAGUUUGUCUCCCCCAGCUACUUGGUAACUUCCUGAGUCCUCUGUGCCUCUGUCAGUUGCUCCAGGAGACCCAGGGCAAGGUAGAUAAAAGUCAUUAAUUAGGAAAAGUAAUGGAGAAAUCAUCCACAAUGAGCAUCUAGUGAAUUGUUUUCAUCACAAUCUGAACUGCAAAGAGAUCAGAGUACAGGACAGUGACACGCCAUUGUGGAAUCCAAGUGGGCUCAGGUGUGUUAGAUGUUAGUUUGUGAAAAAAUAUUUGCUUAUCAGCAAUGUCAGAAUAAAGAGGUAUAAAUAUUUAUUUGAAGUUUAAAAUCCACAUUUCAAUUAUUUAUCCUACUUGAGUCUCAGUUAUCCUAAUCUAGAAAAUGGGAUAAUAAUAACUACACUAUAGAGUUAUUAUGAUAAUUAAAUAAGAUAAUAUAUGAAAUGCUUGGCAUGGCACUUUGGGUAUCAUGAAUUCUCAGCCAUGUCAGUUCUCCUAAUAACAAUAGUAAUAUUUAUUCAGAACUUAUUAGUGCAGUUGCGAUUUUAAGGAAUUCAUAUGGAUUAGCUCAUUUUGUCCUCUUAAUAAACUCUAUCAGGCCCUCCAAAUGUUAAAUAUAACACAAAAAGUUUAGUUAAAGCUUUACCAGAUGAUUACUAAUAUAGUAUAUAUAAAG